This 638-nucleotide long non-coding RNA is filed under the name Diabrotica virgifera virgifera (western corn rootworm). RNAcentral's name for it is "uncharacterized LOC126886571". The record is from RNAcentral. Lineage: Eukaryota; Metazoa; Arthropoda; Insecta; Coleoptera; Chrysomelidae.
UUGUAAUUUUGUGUUGUACAAAGAUUAAUUUAACAUUUUCUCUGGAAGUAUUAAUUUAGAAAGAUAAUAUGCUUUAUUGGUGUUGUGUUUUGAAGUGUGAAAUGCAAAGUAAUUGUGAUAAAGUCAAGAUAAAGUUCACUUUUAAACUGAACUAAAUAAGGUAUCUGAGAGACAACAAUGGUUAAAUGCAAUACAAUGUACAGGUUUUACUAGCGAAAUGAAAAUUUUCCUGUCCUGUCUGCUGUAAUCAUUUUAUAUCUGGAAAACCAGCCGACUUAAUCGAUAAUAACAAUCUCCAGAUUGGGUUCCUUCAAUAAAUAUGGUCUAUAAACACAAUGAAAUAAGUUCCCCAAAAUCUAAAAUGGAGUGGUAUCAAAGGAGAAUUAAAGGGAAAAAUAUUCAUAUUGAAAUUAUUUAUAAGGCACUGGACUGUCUUAAAUUCUACAAUAAUACUAGAAUCAGCUGAGAGAAGUGGUCUACAAAAAACCAGGAAGGAAACGGAAUAUGUGGCUACGAAAGGCAAAAGAAAGGUUUACAAAGCAAAUAUGACACAUUUUUUUGAAAUAUUUAGGAAUAUCAGUAAAUUGCAUUAAAAAAAUGUAUGAAAAGAUUUUGUUCAAUAAAAAUGUUUAUAUUUA